CCUACGGGUGGCAGCAGUGGGGGAUAUUGCACAAUGGGGGGAACCCUGAUGCAGCGACGCCGCGUGGGUGAAGGAGCGCCUCGGCGCGUAAAGCCCUGUCAGCAGGGAAGAAAAUGACGGUACCUGAAGCAGCAGCCCCGGCUAACUACGGGCCAGCCGCCGCGGUAAUACGUAGGGGGCAAGCGUUAUCCGGAUUUACUGGGUGGAAAGGGGGCGCAGACGGCGAUGCAAGCCAGGAGUGAAAGCCCGGGGCCCAACCCCGGGACUGCGCUUGGAACUGCGUGGCUGGAGUGCAGGAGGGGCAGGCGGAAUUCCUGGUGUAGCGGUGAAAUGCGUAGAUAUCAGGAGGAACACCGGUGGCGAAGGCGGCCUGCUGGACUGCAACUGACGUUGAGGCCCGAAAGCGUGGGGAGCAAACAGGAUUAGAUACCCGGGUAGUC
Molecule: ribosomal RNA, 440 nt
Filed under: uncultured bacterium
Lineage: Bacteria
Description: partial 16S ribosomal RNA
Rfam family: Bacterial small subunit ribosomal RNA
Source: RNAcentral